GACGAACGCUGGCGGCGUGCCUAACACAUGCAAGUCGAACGGACGCGGAGGAGCUUGCUCCUCCAAGUUAGUGGCGGACGGGUGAGUAACGCGUGAGCAACCUGCCUUUCAGAGGGGGACAACAGUUGGAAACGACUGCUAAUACCGCAUAACGUGUUUUGGAGGCAUCUUCGAAACACCAAAGAUUUAUCGCUGAAAGAUGGGCUCGCGUCUGAUUAGAUAGUUGGUAGGGUAACGGCCUACCAAGUCGACGAUCAGUAGCCGGACUGAGAGGUUGAACGGCCACAUUGGGACUGAGAUACGGCCCAG
Molecule: ribosomal RNA, 309 nt
Filed under: uncultured bacterium
Lineage: Bacteria
Description: bacterial SSU rRNA
Rfam family: Bacterial small subunit ribosomal RNA
Source: RNAcentral